GACGGACCGUACGAACGUUAUUCGGAAUUACUGGGCUUAAAGGGUGCGUAGGCGGCUCAGAAAGUUGAAUGUGAAAGCCCUCGGCUUAACCGAGGAAUUGCAUCCAAAACUACUGGGCUUGAGUGAGAUAGAGGUGAGCGGAAUUCCCGGUGUAGUGGUGGAAUGCGUAGAUAUCGGGAGGAACACCAGUGGCGAAGGCGGUUGCCUGGAGCUUUGCUGACGCUGAGGCGCGAAAGCGUGGGGAGCGAUCCGG
Molecule: ribosomal RNA, 253 nt
Filed under: uncultured bacterium
Lineage: Bacteria
Description: partial 16S ribosomal RNA
Rfam family: Bacterial small subunit ribosomal RNA
Source: RNAcentral